This 242-nucleotide ribosomal RNA is filed under the name uncultured bacterium. RNAcentral describes it as "partial 16S ribosomal RNA". It matches the Rfam family "Bacterial small subunit ribosomal RNA", at positions 1250 to 1500 of the family's 1533-position model. The record is from RNAcentral.
CGAAAGCAUGAUGCAGAGCAAAUCCCCAAAAAUUAGUCUCAGUUCAGAUUGCAGGCUGAAACUCGCCUGCAUGAAGUCGGAAUUGCUAGUAAUCGCAGAUCAGCAUGCUGCGGUGAAUACGUUCCCGGGCCUUGUACACACCGCCCGUCAAGCCAUGGAAGCCGGGAGUGCCUGAAGUACGCGACCGCAAGGAGCGUCCUAAGGUAAAACCGGUGACUGGGGCUAAGUCGUAACAAGGUAGC